Molecule: ribosomal RNA, 440 nt
Filed under: uncultured bacterium
Lineage: Bacteria
Description: bacterial SSU rRNA
Rfam family: Bacterial small subunit ribosomal RNA
Source: RNAcentral
CCUACGGGGGGCUGCAGUGGGGAAUUGUUCGCAAUGGGCGCAAGCCUGACGACGCAACGCCGCGUGGAGGAUGAAGACCUUCGGGUCGUAAACUCCUUUCGACCGAGAUGAAUUUCCCGCGACCUAACACGUCGCGGGAGUGACAGUAUCGAGGGAAGAAGCCCCGGCUAACUCCGUGCCAGCAGCCGCGGUAAUACGGGGGGGGCAAGCGUUGUUCGGAAUUACUGGGCGUAAAGGGUUCGUAGGUGGCCGACUAAGUCAGACGUGAAAUCCCUCAGCUUAACUGGGGAACUGCGUCUGAUACUGGUCGGCUCGAGUGCGGGAGAGGAACGCGGAAUUCCAGGUGUAGCGGUGAAAUGCGUAGAUAUCUGGAGGAACACCGGUGGCGAAGGCGGCGUUCUGGACUGCAACUGACACUGAGGAACGAAAGCCAGGGGAGC